UACGGGGGGGGCAAGCGUUGUUCGGAUUCAUUGGGCGUACAGGGUGCGUAGGCGGCGCGGUAAGUCGGGUGUGAAAUCUCGGAGCUUAACUCCGAAACUGCAUUCGAUACUGCCGUGCUUGAGGACUGGAGAGGAGACUGGAAUUUACGGUGUAGCGGUGAAAUGCGUAGAUAUCGUAAGGAAGACCAGUGGCGAAGGCGGGUCUCUGGACAGUUCCUGACGCUGAGGCACGAAGGCCAGGGGAGCAAACGGG
RNAcentral lists this ribosomal RNA (253 nucleotides) under uncultured bacterium. Its description in RNAcentral is "partial 16S ribosomal RNA". It matches the Rfam family "Bacterial small subunit ribosomal RNA", at positions 524 to 776 of the family's 1533-position model. The record is from RNAcentral.